UAACAAUGCAGCAUCCUGAGAGGACUGUUCACCCCCUCCAGUGCUGUGGUCUGAAUGCUUGCAUCCCCCCACAUUUGUAUGUUGAAAUCUUAACCCCCAAGGUGAUGGUGUUAGGAGGUGGGGCCUUUGGGAGGUGACUACGUCAUGAGGGUGGGGCCCCGUGAAUGGGAUUAGUGCCCUUAUAAAAGGGGCUGCAGAGAGCUGGCUGGCCCCUUCCACCACGUGAAGACACAGCAGGAAAUUGGCAGCCUGCAAUUGGAGGAGGGGACUCGACAGAACCCGACCGUGCUGGCACCCUGAUAUUGGACUUGCAGUCUCCAGAACUGAGUGAAAUAAAUCUCUGUUUCUAAGCCACCAAGUCUGUGAUACUUUGUCAUCAAAGCCCGAAUGGACUGACACUCAUCUUCCCAGAAAUUGGCUCCCACAGUUACGGAGGUGAGAAGUCCCAGGAUCUGCCAUCUGCAAGCUGGAGACCCAGGAAAGCCGGUGGUGUAAUUCAGUCGGAGUCUGAAGGCCUGGGAACCAGGGGAGCCAAUGGUGUGAGUCCCAGCUGCAGGCUCAGGGCCCAAGAACCAGGAGCUCCGAUGUCCGAGGACGGGAGAAGAUGGAUGUCCAGCUCAAGAAGAGAGGGUGAAUUCACCAUUCCUCUGCCUGUUUUAUUUGGGCCCUCAACGGACUGGAUGAUGCCCACCCAUGUUGGAUGGAGCCAGCUAAGUUUGGAAGCUGCUUGAUUCCUGGUGGCCCAGGC
This 748-nucleotide long non-coding RNA is filed under the name Equus caballus (horse). RNAcentral describes it as "lncRNA (ENSECAG00000052154.1)". Lineage: Eukaryota; Metazoa; Chordata; Mammalia; Perissodactyla; Equidae. The record is from RNAcentral.